CGAUCUGGCGGCUGCUUACCAUGCAAGUCGAACGAUGAAGCCCAGCUUGCUGGGUGGAUUAGUGGCGAACGGGUGAGUAACACGUGAGUAACCUGCCCCUGACUCUGGGAUAAGCCCGGGAAACUGGGUCUAAUACCGGAUAUGACUUUUGACCGCAUGGUUGAGGGUGGAAAGAUUUAUCGGUUGGGGAUGGACUCGCGGCCUAUCAGCUUGUUGGUGAGGUAAUGGCUCACCAAGGCGACGACGGGUAGCCGGCCUGAGAGGGUGACCGGCCACACUGGGACUGAGACACGGCCCAGACUCCUACGGGAGGCAGCAGUGGGGAAUAUUGCACAAUGGGCGCAAGCCUGAUGCAGCGACGCCGCGUGAGGGAUGACGGCCUUCGGGUUGUAAMCYUCUUUCAGUAGGGAAGAAGCGARAGUGACGGUACCUGCAGAAGAAGCGCCGGCUAACUACGUGCCAGCAGCCGCGGUAAUACGUAGGGCGCAAGCGUUAUCCGGAUUUAUUGGGCGUAAAGAGCUCGUAGGCGGUUUGUCGCGUCUAUCGUGAAAGUCCGAGGCUCAACCUCGGAUCUGCGGUGGGUACGGGCAGACUAGAGUGAUGUAGGGGAGACUGGAAUUCCUGGUGUAGCGGUGAAAUGCGCAGAUAUCAGGAGGAACACCGAUGGCGAAGGCAGGUCUCUGGGCAUUUACUGACGCUGAGGAGCGAAAGCAUGGGGAGCGAACAGGAUUAGAUACCCUGGUAGUCCAUGCCGUAAACGUUGGGCACUAGGUGUGGGGGACAUUCCACGUUUUCCGCGCCGUAGCUAACGCAUUAAGUGCCCCGCCUGGGGAGUACGGCCGCAAGGCUAAAACUCAAAGGAAUUGACGGGGGCCCGCACAAGCGGCGGAGCAUGCGGAUUAAUUCGAUGCAACGCGAAGAACCUUACCAAGGCUUGACAUGUUCCAGAUCGCCCUCAGAGAUGGGGUUUCCCUUCGGGGCUGGUUCACAGGUGGGUGCAUGGUUGUCGUCAGCUCGKGYCGKGAGAUGUUGGGUUAAGUCCCGCAACGAGCGCAACCCUCGUUCCAUGUUGCCAGCGGGUUAUGCCGGGGACUCAUGGGAGACUGCCGGGGUCAACUCGGAGGAAGGUGGGGAUGACGUCAAAUCAUCAUGCCCCUUAUGUCUUGGGCUUCACGCAUGCUACAAUGGCCGGUACAAUGGGUUGCGAUACUGUGAGGUGGAGCUAAUCCCUAAAAGCCGGUCUCAGUUCGGAUUGGGGUCUGCAACUCGACCCCAUGAAGUCGGAGUCGCUAGUAAUCGCAGAUCAGCAACGCUGCGGUGAAUACGUUCCCGGGCCUUGUACACACCGCCCGUCAAGUCACGAAAGUUGGUAACACCCGAAGCCGAUGGCCUAACCACCUUGUGUGGGGGGAGUCGUCGAAGGUGACGUCAUU
Molecule: ribosomal RNA, 1433 nt
Filed under: Arthrobacter sp.
Lineage: Bacteria; Bacillati; Actinomycetota; Actinomycetes; Micrococcales; Micrococcaceae
Description: bacterial SSU rRNA
Source: RNAcentral